Molecule: ribosomal RNA, 1324 nt
Filed under: metagenome
Description: bacterial LSU rRNA
Rfam family: Bacterial large subunit ribosomal RNA
Source: RNAcentral
AGUGGAUGGGGAGCAACCUAGUUGUGCGUGUGUAAAGGUAGUGCCAAGAAAAGCGAUGAUCAUGUUGAAAAUCAAUUCCCGGUACCCGAAACCGACACAGGUGGGCAAGUAGAGAAUACUAAGGGGCGCGAGGUAACUCUCUCCAAGGAACUCGGCAAAAUGACCCCGUAACUUAGGGAGAAGGGGUGCCACCGAGAGGUGGUCGCAGUGAAGAGGCCCAGGCGACUGUUUAGCAAAAACAUAGGUCUCUGCAAACUCGAAAGAGGAGGUAUAGGGGCUGACGCCUGCCCAGUGCCGGAAGGUUAAAGAAGUUGGUCAGUUUUAGGAUGAAGCUAGCGACUGAAGCCCCGGUGAACGGCGGCCGUAACUAUAACGGUCCUAAGGUAGCGAAAUUCCUUGUCGGGUAGUUCCGACCCGCACGAAAGGCGUAACGAUCUGGGCGCUGUCCCGGAGAGAGGCUCGGCGAAAUAGGAUUGUCUGUGAAGAUACGGACUACCUGCAUUUGGACAGAAAGACCCUAUGAAGCUUUACUAUAGCUUGGAAUUGUGUUCGGGCUUCCUGUGCGCAGGAUAGGUGGGAGGCGUAGAAGGUAUUCUUGUGGGGAUACUGGAGCCAACGGUGAGAUACCACUCUCAGGAGGCUAGAAUUCUAACUUAAUUAAGGACAGUUUCAGGAGGGUAGUUUGACUGGGGCGGUCGCCUCCAAAAAGGUAACGGAGGCGUACAAAGGUUCCCUCAGACUGGUUGGAAAUCAGUCGAAGAGUGCAAAGGCAGAAGGGAGCUUGACUGCGAGAAGUACAGUUCGAGCAGGGUGGAAACACGGUCUUAGUGAUCCGACGGUGCUGUGUGGAAGGGCCGUCGCUCAACGGAUAAAAGUUACUCUAGGAUAACAGGCUGAUCUCCCCCAAGAGUUCACAUCGACGGGGAGGUUUGGCACCUCGAUGUCGGCUCAUCGCAACCUGGGGCGGAAGUACGUCCCAAGGGUUGGGCUGUUCGCCCAUUAAAGCGGUACGUGAGCUGGGUUCAGAACGUCGUGAGACAGUUCGGUCCAUAUCCGAUGUAGGCGUGAGAAUAUUGAGAGGAGCCUUCCUUAGUACGAGAGGACCGGGAAGGACGCGCCGCUGGUGUACCUGUUAUGAUGCCAAUUGUAAACGCAGGGUAGCCAAGUGCGGAGAGGAUAACCGCUGAAAGCAUCUAAGUGGGAAGCCCACCUCAAGAUGAGUAUUCUGGUGUAAGGUCACGGGAAGACGACCCGUAAAUAGGCACGAGGUGGAAGUGCAGAGAUGUAUGAAGCCGAAGUGUACUAAUAGACCGUCGGCUUGACC